Molecule: ribosomal RNA, 415 nt
Filed under: uncultured prokaryote
Description: bacterial SSU rRNA
Rfam family: Bacterial small subunit ribosomal RNA
Source: RNAcentral
GUGUCAGCAGCCGCGGUAAUACGGAGGGUGCGAGCGUUAAUCGGAAUUACUGGGCGUAAAGCGUCCGUAGGCGGUCUGUUAAGUCUGAUGUGAAAGCCCUGGGCUUAACCUAGGAAUGGCAUUGGAUACUGGCAGGCUAGAGUCUGGUAGAGGGUGGUGGAAUUCCCGGUGUAGCGGUGAAAUGCGUAGAGAUCGGGAGGAACACCGGUGGCGAAGGCGGCCACCUGGACCAAGACUGACGCUGAGGGACGAAAGCGUGGGGAGCAAACAGGAUUAGAUACCCUGGUAGUCCACGCCCUAAACGAUGUCGACUAGCCGUUGGAUCCUUUAUUGGAUUUAGUGGCGCAGCUAACGCGGUAAGUCGACCGCCUGGGGAGUACGGCCGCAAGGUUAAAACUCAAAUGAAUUGACGGGG